UUGAUCGCCGUAGUGGGGUAACGACUCCUCCAUCACCCAUCUGAAAAUUCAUCGGUCUCUGCAACUCCGCUUUACGGCGUAAUAAUGUUGAUCCACUCUAAAUCAUUCAAUUCGGUUCUUAACUCCUUUAUUAGAUUUCUCAACCUACAUCGCAAAUCCCUAAUUCAUGAGACUAUAAAUAAGGAUGGGGACCUCUCCAAAUUUCACUGAUUCACGAGAUUCAAUCAUAUUCCUUCACGGCCUGCAACAUUGGUGUCAACCCUGAUCCUUCUUUCCGAUUGAAAUCCGACCGUAGUCCUUAGACGGUGGUGACGCGUCUCCUGCGUUUCUGGAAAGCACCCAACGUCCUUUCGCACUCAAGUCACGAAAGGAGAAAAGCUCAGACGAGUCAUUAUGCUUCUGCUUCAUGAAAAGGUGGAGCUCUUCAUGUCCCCUCAAUGAACAUGUUACUUUUCUAAUAUUUUGUCGCAGUCUUUAUGGUUUUAUUAUGUUGCUUCUCUAAUAUUUGUUUUACUUCCUUGAGAACAUUAUGUUGUGUAAACAUGUGAAGCAAGUGGUUAUAUUGUAAAUG
Molecule: long non-coding RNA, 571 nt
Filed under: Brassica napus (rape)
Lineage: Eukaryota; Viridiplantae; Streptophyta; Magnoliopsida; Brassicales; Brassicaceae
Description: long non-coding RNA (BNAP_LNC012089)
Source: RNAcentral